UACGAAGGGGGCUAGCGUUGUUCGGAAUUACUGGGCGUAAAGAGCUCGUAGGCGGUCUGUUGCGUCCGCUGUGAAAACUCGGGGCUUAACCCCGAGCCUGCAGUGGAUACGGGCAGACUAGAGGUGAGGUAGGGGAGAAUGGAAUUCCCGGUGUAGCGGUGAAAUGCGCAGAUAUUGGGAGGAACACCAGUGGCGAAGGCGGCUUUCUGGUCUGCUCUUGACGCUGAGGCGCGAAAGCUAGGGUAGCAAACGGG
This 254-nucleotide ribosomal RNA is filed under the name uncultured bacterium. Its description in RNAcentral is "partial 16S ribosomal RNA". It matches the Rfam family "Bacterial small subunit ribosomal RNA", at positions 524 to 776 of the family's 1533-position model. The record is from RNAcentral.